CAAUAGCGUAUAUUUAAGUUGUUGCAGUUAAAAAGCUCGUAGUUGGAUUUCGGAUGGGACUUGCCGGUCCGUCGUUUCGAUGUGCACUGGCCAGUCCUAUCUUGUUGUCGGGGACUAGCUCCUGGGCUUCACUGUCCGGGACUAGGAGCUGACGAGGUUACUUUGAGUAAAUUAGAGUGUUCAAAGCAAGCCUACGCUCUGAAUACAUUAGCAUGGAAUAACACGAUAGGACUCUGGCUUAUCUUGUUGGUCUGUGAGACCAGAGUAAUGAUUAAGAGGGACAGUCGGGGGCAUUCGUAUUUCAUUGUCAGAGGUGAAAUUCUUGGAUUUAUGAAAGACGAACUUCUGCGAAAGCAUUUGUCAAGGAUGCUUUCAUUAA
RNAcentral lists this ribosomal RNA (379 nucleotides) under uncultured eukaryote. RNAcentral's name for it is "partial 18S ribosomal RNA". It matches the Rfam family "Eukaryotic small subunit ribosomal RNA", at positions 592 to 976 of the family's 1831-position model. The record is from RNAcentral.